AAAGUACUCCCUCCGUCCCAAAAUUCAUGUCUUUGAUUUGUCUAGAUACGGAUGUAUCAAGUCACAUUUUAGUAUUAGAUACAUCCGUAUCUAGAAAAAUCUAAGACAAGAAAUUUGGGACAGAGGGAGUAGUUG
Molecule: non-coding RNA, 135 nt
Organism: Triticum aestivum (bread wheat)
Lineage: Eukaryota; Viridiplantae; Streptophyta; Magnoliopsida; Poales; Poaceae
Source: Rfam